RNAcentral lists this unclassified non-coding RNA (291 nucleotides) under uncultured fungus. Its description in RNAcentral is "sequence contains ITS1". The stretch from base 1 to 105 matches the Rfam family "5.8S ribosomal RNA", at positions 50 to 154 of the family's 154-position model. The record is from RNAcentral. Lineage: Eukaryota; Fungi.
GAAAUGCGAUAAGUAAUGUGAAUUGCAGAAUUCAGUGAAUCAUCGAAUCUUUGAACGCACAUUGCGCCCUCCGGUAUUCCGGGGGGCAUGCCUGUCCGAGCGUCAUUACAACCCUCAAGCCCGGCUUGUCAUUGGGUGCCGCCCCCCGGGGCUCGCCCGAAAUACAGGGACCGUCUGGAGAAGCUCCGAGCGUAUGGGUCAAACCCGCUCCGGCAGCCUUCUCUGGUCUGUCGAACCACCCCACUUCUUUAUGUGGACCUCGGAUCAGGUAGGGAUACCCGCUGAACUUAA